RNAcentral lists this ribosomal RNA (491 nucleotides) under uncultured bacterium. Its description in RNAcentral is "partial 16S ribosomal RNA". It matches the Rfam family "Bacterial small subunit ribosomal RNA", at positions 30 to 523 of the family's 1533-position model. The record is from RNAcentral.
AUUGAACGCUGGCGGCAUGCCUAACACAUGCAAGUCGAACGGGUUGUAGCAAUACAACUAGUGGCGGACGGGUGAGGAAUACAUAGGAAUUUGCCUUUAGGUGGGGGAUAGUCCGGGGAACCUCGGUUUAAUACCGCAUGAUGUCGCAAGACCAAAGCAGGGGAUCGCAAGACCUUGCGCCUUUAGAGAAGCCGAUGUCGGAUUAGCUAGUUGGUAGGGUAAUGGCCUACCAAGGCGACGAUCCGUAACUGGUCUGAGAGGACGAUCAGUCACACCGGAACUGAGACACGGUCCGGACUCCUACGGGAGGCAGCAGUGGGGAAUAUUGGACAAUGGGCGAAAGCCUGAUCCAGCAAUGCCGCGUGUGUGAAGAAGGCCUUCGGGUUGUAAAGCACUUUAGGCUGGGAAGAAAAAGCUUUACCUAAUACGUGAAGCCUUGACGGUACCAGCGGAAUAAGCACCGGCUAACUCUGUGCCAGCCGCCGCCGUAA